AUGGAUAUCUCACUACCCCUCCUCCUCCCAGCCGUCAUCCUCAUCCCCGUCGUCUCGUACCUGCUGGUGACGAAGCGCAGCACCGAGGAAGGGCGGCUGAAGCUGCCGCCGGGCCCGAAGUGGCACGUGUUCUGGGCGACGCUGGCUGCCCUGGGCGACGCUGCGGGGCCGGUGUCGUUGGACGAGCACGUGUUCUGUGUCGCCGACGGCGUGAUCGCCAUGGUGGCGUACGGGAGCGUGUACGGCGCAGAGGCGUUCUCGGGAAAGUACGAGCGGUUCCAGCACGUGCUACAGGAGGCCGUGGACAUGUCGGCCAGCUUCUCCGCCGAGGACUUCUUCCCCAACACCGCCGGCCGCCUCCUCGACCGGCUCGCCGGCAUCGUCGCGCGCCGGGAGAGGAUCUUCAGAGACCUCGACGGCUUCUUCGAGGAAGUGCUGGAGCAGCAUCGAGACCCCGCACGCCCCAGGCCGGAGAGCGGCGGCGGUGACCUGGUGGAUGCCCUCGUCAGAAUCUGCGAGGAGCAUGGCUUCACGAGGGACCACGUCAAGGCUGUCCUCCUGGACGUGUUCAUCGGCGGCGUUGACACGAGCUCUGUGACGAUCCUGUGGGCGAUGUCGGAGCUGAUCCGGAAGCCGCAGGUGCUGAAGAAAGCGCAGAAGGAGAUCAGGGACGUGGUCGCCGGCAACGAGCAGCGGGUGCAGCCGGACGACCUGCCGAAGCUGACCUACCUGAAGAUGGUCGUCAAAGAGACCCUGCGGCUGCACCCGUCGAUUACGCUGCUUCUGCCGUGGGAGACGCUUCGGAGGGUGGAGAUCGGCGGCUACGACGUGCCGGCGGGGUCGCGGGUGCUCGUGAACGCGUGGGUCAUCGGGAGGGACCCCGCAAGCUGGGGGCAGGACGCGGAGGAGUUCGAGCCGGAGAGGUUCGAGGCCGGCGGGAGGCACGGCAAGGUGGACUUCCGUGGCGCUCACUUGGAACUGAUGCCGUUCGGCGCCGGCCGGCGAAUCUGCCCCGCACUGGUCAUGGGAGCUGCCGGAGGAGGCCGGUAG
This 1050-nucleotide ribosomal RNA is filed under the name Triticum aestivum (bread wheat). RNAcentral's name for it is "partial small subunit ribosomal RNA". The record is from RNAcentral. Lineage: Eukaryota; Viridiplantae; Streptophyta; Magnoliopsida; Poales; Poaceae.